UGCAGUGCACAAUUAUUAUUAUUUGCGUUGACAAUUUUUAAUAGCGAUGUGAGUAUCGAUAAUCAACUAUAUUCGAUUGACAUAUCGAUAUUCAAUACCAAGAAUUUAUGAAAAAGUGGCUUAACUCUUAGGAGUCGAAACUUGUCCAAAUUGUUGACUUCUCCUUCAUCUCCGAUCUAAUAUUUAUCAUAGCUUGCAAAUUACAGUUGGUCGCCUUAUUCUCUACGUUCACAUCUUCACACUCACUCGCUCUCGCUCAGAGCAAAGGAUUUUGAUUCUUUUCUAUUUCGUCUUCUGCUGAGCGCCUUGAGUGGAACUGGUGCUGUGUAUUUUCUCCAUUUUCAAAUGCUUAGCGGGACGAUCAGGAGCUUUACUGCACUGCACGACUGACCCCCACCAGGCCCGGGCGACUGAAGAAAUGCUGCAGCUGCUGCCCUUUAUAUACGACUUUCACUCAUACACUCAAACGUGCUUAAAUUCUGGGCCCGGUGCCAGGUAGAGGUCGUUUCAGUUGAGCCUCAACUGACCAAUGGGAACGCUCUCUGCUGCUUCAAGCACUCUUACUUCGUUUUACUUGAAUAUAAAUACUCAAUGAAUACAGCUGCAUGCAUAUAGACAACUUAA
Molecule: long non-coding RNA, 624 nt
Organism: Drosophila mojavensis
Lineage: Eukaryota; Metazoa; Arthropoda; Insecta; Diptera; Drosophilidae
Exons: 2
Source: RefSeq, a predicted model, not a curated record